UAUGUUGUCUUGUGUUUUCCCAUCACUCUCGUCGGAGCGGAAGCAUCGGUGAAGCUGCGGAGCUCUAGCCGCAACAGCAGCGCUCAGGAUCGGCCACACACCGGGCUGACAUGCCGUGGGGAUGAUGGCUGCCUUCGGCAUAUUAAGCUACGAACACAGGCCUCUCAAACGACCCAGACUCGGUCCUCCAGACGUCUAUCCACAGGACCCGAAGCAAAAGGAGGAUGAGUUAACAGCAUUGAACGUCAAACAAGGAUUUAACAACCAGCCAGCCGUUUCAGGCGAUGAACAUGGCAGCGCUAAAAAUGUCAAUUUCAACCCUUCAAAGAUCAGCUCAAACUUCAGCAGCAUCAUUGCAGAGAAGUUACGCUGCAACACAUUUCCAGACACUGGGAAGAGGAAGCCGCAGGUUAACCAGAAGGAUAAUUUCUGGCUCGUCACAGCGAGGUCACAGAGCUCCAUUAAUAAUUGGUUCACGGACUUGGCCGGGACCAAACCCCUUACUCAGCUUGCUAAAAAGGUUCCCAUCUUCAGCAAGAAAGAGGAAGUGUUUGGCUACCUUGCCAAGUACUCUGUGCCGGUGAUGCGAUCUGCUUGGAUGAUUAAAAUGACGUGUGCGUAUCACGCUGCCAUAACUGAAACCAAGGUGAAGAAGAGGCACGUCAUUGACCCCUGCAUAGAAUGGACUCAGAUAAUUACUAAAUACCUGUGGGAGCAGCUGCAGAAGGUGGCAGAGUUUUACAGACAGUCUCCCAGCCAGGGCUGCGGGUCUCCUCUGCCCGCUCCUCCUGCCGAGGUGGAAACUGCGAUGAAACAGUGGGAGUACAACGAGAAACUGGCCAUGUUCAUGUUUCAGGAUGGCAUGUUAGACAGACAUGAGUUUCUCACCUGGGUGCUGGAGUGUUUCGAGAAGAUCAGACCCGGAGAGGACGAGCUCCUGCGACUGCUGCUGCCGCUCCUGUUACAGUACUCGGGAGAGUUUGUGCAGUCAGCCUAUUUAUCUAGACGACUGGCGUAUUUCUGCACACGCCGGCUCAAUUUGCUGCUGAGCGAUGGCAGUCUCGGUCCGGGCCCAGGCGGGCACCCGGCCCACGGCAUUUCAGCACAGCAAGGAAACGCACUACCCCCCACCCCCACCUCCCAGCCUGCAGGGGGCAACCAGCCCCAGACCCCCUUCACAGACUUCUACAUCUGCCCCCAGCACAGGCCUGUGGUGUUUGGACUCAGCUGCAUGUUGCAGAGUAUCGUGUUGUGUUGCCCCAGCGCUCUGGUCUGGCACUACUCUCUGACAGACAGCCGUAAUAAGACCGGCUCCCCGUUAGACCUCUUGCCAAUCGCUCCCUCUAACCUGCCCAUGCCGGGGGGCACCAGCACCUUUAACCAGCAGGUUCGGGCCAAGGUGAGGGAGAUUGAAGAGCAGAUCAAAGAGAGAGGACAGGCUGUGGAGUUCCGCUGGUCUUUCGACAAGUGUCAGGAAACCACAGCAGGUUUCACCAUUAGCCGGGUUCUGCAUACAUUGGAGGUUUUGGAUAACCACAGCUUUGAAAAGUCUGACUUUAGCAAUUCCCUGGAUUCGCUGUAUAACCGGAUUUUUGGCUCGGGUCAGAGCAAAGAUGGACACGAGAUGAGUCCAGACGACGACGCAGUGGUGACCCUGCUGUGUGAGUGGGCUGUUUCCUGUAAAAGGUCAGGGCCGCACAGAGCCAUGGUGGUGGCCAAACUCCUGGAGAAGAGACAGACGGAGAUUGAGGCAGAGAGGUGUGGAGAGUCAGAGGUCGUAGAUGAGAAAGGCUCUGUGUCGUCAGGGUCUCUGUCUACUGCCACACUGCCUGUCUUCCAGGACGUCCUACUGCAGUUCCUGGACACUCAGGCCCCUGUGCUUACUGAGCCCGGGAACGAGAGCGAGCGAGUGGAGUUCUCUAAUCUCGUGCUGCUCUUCUGUGAGCUCAUCCGUCAUGAUGUCUUCUCACACAACAUCUACAUGUGCACCCUCAUCUCCCGGGGUGACCUGGCCUCUGAUUCCCAUCUGCCCCGCCCACGUUCCCCCAGCGACGAGCCCUCUGACGAAUCAGAGCGCAAAGACCAGGAUGCGGGAAGCAGUGUUAAAAUCGAGGAUACUGGUAUGUCGGAGUCAAUGGAGAUGGAUCACAACUCGAGUGCUAACUUUGACGAGCAGAUGUUCUCUCCUCCAAUGCACUGCGAGUCGAAGGGAAGCCCUUCCCCGGAGAAACCUGCAUCGGAGCAGGAGAGCAAAAACACUGCCAAGGAUAAGGGCAUGGACCCGGCCUUCCCUCUGGUUUACGAGCAGCCUCGCCACAUACAGUACGCCACCCACUUCCCCAUUCCUCAGGAGGAGAGCGCGAGUCAUGAGUGUAACCAGCGUCUGGUGGUUCUCUAUGGAGUAGGCAAGCAGCGAGAUGAAGCUCGCCACACCAUCAAGAAGAUCACCAAAGACAUCCUGAAGGUUCUCAACCGCAAGAGUACAGCAGAGACAGGAGGUGAGGAGAGCCAGAAGAGGAAGAGGAGUAAACCUGAGGCCUUCCCCACUGCUGAAGACAUUUUCUCUAAAUUCCAGCACCUCUCACACUUUGACCAGCACCAGGUCACCUCUCAGGUGUCCAGGAAUGUUCUGGAGCAGAUCACCAGCUUUGCCUUAGGGAUGUCCUAUCACCUCCCACUGGUCCAACACAUCCAGUUCAUCUUUGACCUCAUGGAGUACUCGCUCAAUAUAAGUGGCCUCAUUGACUUUGCGAUACAGCUGCUGAAUGAGUUGAGUCUGGUGGAAGCAGAACUCCUGCUGAAAUCCUCCAACCUGGCUGGCAGUUACACUACAGGUCUCUGUCUGUGCAUUGUGGCCGUGCUGCGGAGAUACCAUUCCUGCCUCAUCCUCAACCCUGACCAGACCGCACAGGUCUUUGAUGGGCUGCGAAUUGUAGUCAAGUCUGGCGUGAACCCUGCAGACUGUUCCUCAGCUGAACGCUGUAUCCUGGCCUAUCUCUACGACCUCUAUACCUCCUGCAGUCACCUAAAGAGCAAGUUUGGGGAGAUUUUCAGUGAGUUCUGCUCAAAGGUAAAGAACUCCAUCUAUUAUAACAUCGACCCAUCAGACUCUAACAUGCUGUGGGAUCAGAUGUUCAUGAUCGACGCCAUCGCUAAUCCUACCGCACACAAUCUCAACCACUCCAUGGUGGGAAAGAUCCUCAACGACAGCCCGGCUAACCGCUACAGCUUUGUGUGUAACGUGCUCAUGGACGUGUGCGUGGACCAUCGUGAUCCUGAGAGGGUGAAUGAUAUCGGUAUCCUGUGUGCGGAGCUGACGGCGUACUGUCGCUCUCUCAGCGCUGAGUGGUUGGGAGUGCUCAAGGCUCUCUGCUGCUCUUCCAACAACGGCAACUGCGGUUUUAACGAUCUACUCUGCAACGUUGACGUCAGUGAUCUUUCUUUCCAUGACUCGCUGGCGACAUUCGUCGCUAUCCUAAUAGCUCGGCAGUGUUUGUUGCUGGAGGAUCUGGUGCGCUGUGUGGCCAUCCCCUCCCUCCUGAACGCAGCCUGUAGUGAGCAGGAUUCUGAACCUGGAGCCAGACUGACCUGCAGGAUCCUGCUUCAUCUGUUCAGAACCCCACAGCGUAACCCCUGUCCACAAGACGGCACCAAAUCAGACAAAUCCACAGUGGGCAUCAGAUCAUCCUGCGACCGACACUUGCUGGCUGCGUCUCAGAACAGCAUUGUGGUGGGAGCCGUGUUUGCCGUGUUGAAGGCCGUUUUCAUGCUGGGAGAUGCCGAGCUGAAGGGUUCAGGCUUCUCCCAUCCCGCUGGAUUGGACGACAUUGGAGAGGAUGACAUGGGCUCCAAAAAAUCCGGAGGACGUAACGUCUCUAUUGAAACGGCCAGUCUGGUGGUUUACGCCAAGUAUGUGCUGAAGAGCAUCUGCCAGCAGGAGUGGGUUGGCGAGCGUUGUCUGAAGUCUCUGUCGGAGGACAGCAGUGCACUACAGGAUCCAGUGCUGGGGAACAUCCAGGCUCAGCGGUUACUGCAGCUCAUCUGUUACCCACACAGGCAGCUGGACAGCGAGGAGGGCGAGAAUCCUCAGAGACAGCGCAUCAAACGCAUCCUGCAGAACAUGGACCAGUGGACCAUGAGACAGUCCUCUCUCGAGCUACAGCUCAUGAUCAAGCAGUGCUCACCUAAUUCAAACUCAACUAAUGUAAGCUCAACUAAUGAGCUGUAUGCUCUUCAGGAAAACAUAGCCAAGGCCACCAUUGAAGUUUUCCAGAAGUCUGCUGAGAUGAACUCUAGUAACCCCACCUGGAAUGGCUCCGCUGUCUCUGGCAGCUCCGUCUCCAAUAGCAACAGCGCCAGCAAACUGAAACCUGUGCUCAGUUCCUCUGAGCGUUCAGGUGUCUGGUUAGUGGCCCCUCUGAUUGGUAAGCUGCACACCUCGGUGCAGGGUCACGUGCUGAAGGCUGCGGGUGAAGAGCUGGAGAAGGGACAGCACCUGGGACCCUCCUCACGAAAAGAAAGAGAUCGGCAGAAACAAAAAAGUAUGUCUCUCUUGAGCCAGCAACCCUUCCUGUCUCUGGUGCUGACGUGCCUCAAAGGACAAGAUGAGCAGAGGGAGGGUCUCCUGACUUCCCUCUACAGCCAAGUCCAGCAGAUUGUGACUAACUGGCGUGAGGACCAGUACCAGGACGACUGCAAAGCCAAGCAGAUGAUGCACGAGGCCUUGAAGCUGCGGCUCAAUCUGGUGGGCGGGAUGUUUGAUACGGUACAGCGUAGCACGCAGCAGACGACGGAGUGGGCGGUGCUUCUGCUGGACAUCAUCAGCAGUGGCACAGUGGACAUGCAGUCAAACAAUGAGCUCUUCACUACGGUGUUAGACAUGCUGAGCGUGUUGAUCAAUGGCACUCUGGCAGCUGACAUGUCCAGCAUCUCUCAGGGCAGUAUGGAGGAGAAUAAGAGGGCCUACAUGAACCUGGUCAAGAAGCUCAGGAAAGAACUCGGUGACCGUCAGUCCGAGAGCUUGGAGAAAGUGCGGCAGUUGCUGCCUCUGCCCAAGCAGACGCGUGAUGUCAUCACCUGUGAGCCCCAGGGAUCGCUCAUUGACACAAAGGGCAACAAAAUUGCUGGAUUUGAAAAAGAGGGUCUUCAGGUGUCGACUAAGCAGAAGAUUUCUCCAUGGGACGUGUUUGAGGGGCUGAAGCACUCGGCUCCGCUCUCCUGGGGCUGGUUCGGAACCGUGCGGGUCGACCGCAAAGUCACAAAGUUUGAGGAACAGCAGCGGCUCCUGCUUUACCACACCCACAUAAAGCCCAAACAACGCAGUUACUAUCUGGCGCCCCUCAACCUGCCCCAAGAGGAGGAGGAGCCACCUACACCUGUCGCUCCUGAGCCAGACAAGAAGGUGGAUCAAGGGAAGCCGGAGAAGAGCGUCUCCAGUGUCUCAAAUGACCCCAGUAAGAAGAAGAAGAAAAAGAAACAGACAUCCGCAAAUAAACAAGAGGACUACAAGCCACACAACCCAGCAGUCAUGCAGUUCCCGCAAGGCAUGGCCCCUGAUCUUAUGAACAUGGGCCAAUCGAACAUGCCUUUUCAGAUAUCCUACCCGCGUCCUAUGAUAUAUGCCCAAAACCAGCCUCUACCACCAGGAGGCCCCGGUUUGGAGCCCCCUUUCCGUCCCAGGACUCCUAUGAACAAAAUUCCUCCACGUCCCAAUUAUAUACAGGCUGCUAGCAUGGGCAACAUGAUGGGAAUGGACAAGCCAUACCAAAUGAACUAUAAACCCCCACCCAGCAUGCCUCAGGGGCAGAUUCUCCGUCAUCAGCUACAGGUCAGACUGGGGAAUCAUAAUCAUUUAAUGGGACAGCAGAUUAGACCAGUGGCACCUAAUCAACAGUAUUCAUCAAUGCAGCCGACACAGAACAUUUCCCAGGGAUACACACCCUACGGUCCACAUAUGGGGAUUCAGCCACACCCCUCUCAGACCGCUGGAAUUGUUUCUAGCUCAUACAGUAACCAGGGCUUCGGAGGAGGACAUCCUGGCCCAAACCCAGGCAUGGUGGAUUCUCUUAGACAAAUGCAGCAGAGGCCGAGCGGCUAUGUCCAUCAGCAGGCUUCUGGAGCAUACGGACACACAAUGCAGAACACUCAAAGAUUCUCCCAUCAGCCCAUGCAGCAGGCACCUAUGAUGCACGGCCUGGCUCAAGGUCACAUGGCACCCCAGGGCAUGCACCCCAACAUGAGGCCCAAUCAGAUGAUGGACCAGCAGCAGCAGCAACAACAGCCGAUGAUAAGACAGCAUCCAGCUCUCCGACAGCAGCAGCAGCAGCAGGUUCAACAACAAGUGCAGCAGCAGCAGCAGGUCCAGCAGCAGCAGGUUCAGCCUCAGCAGGUGCCGCAGCAGCAGGUUCAGCAGCAGGUGGCAGCAGCUCAGCCCCCCGCCCAGGCCCUGGGCAUGCAGCCUCUGCCGCCGCAGCAGCCCAUGUUCCCACGUCAAGGCAUGCAGCAAACCCAGCAGCAGCAGCAGACUGCAGCACUGGUCCGACAGCUCCAGCAGCAGCUCUCAAUGUAAGACAUUGUGCUGGGCCAGUGUUGCCACCUGGUGGACCAACUGAUCAGUGCAAAAAAAAUAAGAUACUCAACCUGGACAGAACACCAACUCAUAUUACUGAGAAUGUCUGAAUGAAUUUCAGCGGUGGUAAAGAAUAGUUUUGUGUCCGCUCAAGCGACGAGGACCCCUGCACCUGAAGGAAGCCCACAGGGCUGUAUCUAAAGUAGAUUGUUUUUCAGACAUACAUUUCUGAAAGUCAUAGAGGCGUCGUUCUGUGAAACAUUGAGGUGAACAAUGAAAGAGUUUAUGUAAAAAGAAGUACAGGAAAUUAUAAGAAAUAUUGCAACUUUUUUUAUUUUAUUUCAAUUUGUACAAUUUUUCAGUUUUGUGUAUUUCUCAUUAAAAAAAAUCAUGUCACUUUUUA
Megalobrama amblycephala (Wuchang bream) is the source of this 6971-nucleotide RNA transcript. It is a transcript of the gene named mediator complex subunit 12, with no coding region annotated. The record is from RefSeq and is a predicted model, not a curated record. The transcript has 45 exons. NCBI's taxonomy places the organism in Eukaryota, Metazoa, Chordata, Actinopteri, Cypriniformes, Xenocyprididae.